This 71-nucleotide transfer RNA is filed under the name Actinomycetes bacterium. RNAcentral describes it as "tRNA-Cys". It matches the Rfam family "tRNA". Rfam says of the family: Transfer RNA (tRNA) molecules are approximately 80 nucleotides in length. Their secondary structure includes four short double-helical elements and three loops (D, anti-codon, and T loops). RNAcentral also lists the same sequence under 2 other names. Lineage: Bacteria; Bacillati; Actinomycetota; Actinomycetes. The record is from RNAcentral.
GGCGACGUGGCCGAGUGGCCAGGCAAGGGUCUGCAAAACCCUCUACCCGGGUUCGAUUCCCGGCGUCGCCU